AUGCUCCCUUUGGCAGCACAUAAACUAAAACUGGAAUGAUACAGAGAAGAUUAGCAUGUCCCCUGCACAGGAUGAUACACAAAUUCGUGAAGCAUUUCAUAAAAGA
Herpailurus yagouaroundi (jaguarundi) is the source of this 106-nucleotide small nuclear RNA. The record is from RefSeq and is a predicted model, not a curated record. NCBI's taxonomy places the organism in Eukaryota, Metazoa, Chordata, Mammalia, Carnivora, Felidae.